UCUCCUGUGACUGACGCUUACUCAAAGUGCCCCAAAGGAAAAAAUAAUAAUAAUAACCUAGAGUUGCAAUUUAUCUUCACAAGGUCAGCCUAUGCAAGCACAACCUUCGGGUGUCUGGUCAAGUGAAUUUCAACCUUGCUGUGUUAAGCUUCAUCCCCCUGGUACUCAGCACUGAGACCCACUAGGAAUUCAUCUCUCCUUCUUCCUGCCUCAGAAAGUGACACACUUUGUGCAGAUCCUGUAAACAAAUGCUGGCCUUGCAGUUCUCUAAAACAAGCAUCUCUGAGAGUCAUCAAAGUCCAGUGGCAAGACAAAAGUCAAGAGGAUUGGCAAUGGCCAGGAUGCAGCGGAUGACGUUGUGUCUUUAAUGUCUGACCAAGUUCUAAGCACCCACUUUAGCUGCCUUCCUGGCUGUUGGAACAAAUUGUUCUCACCUGCCCAUUCUGCCAGGAUUCAAAGUAUGAAAGAAUAUAAAGUUUUAUCCUAAUCACUAAAUAAAGAAGUGAUGGGGAACAGAGGUCAAAUCCGAUCACAACCAACUUCAAGAGGCUGUAAGAAUUCUUUUGUUGUAAUGAAAUUGUGCUGGAAAUUUGGUCUGCAAGAACUAGACUGUAAGUUAGGGGUUUAGAAUGUUUUUUCCAACAGAUUUUCAUUGUUAUGGUAUUUUUUUAAUCAUGGUUUUUUUUGUAAUUAAAUUAGGUAUCAUCAACAUUUCAA
Molecule: long non-coding RNA, 717 nt
Organism: Phascolarctos cinereus (koala)
Lineage: Eukaryota; Metazoa; Chordata; Mammalia; Diprotodontia; Phascolarctidae
Source: RefSeq, a predicted model, not a curated record